This 1424-nucleotide ribosomal RNA is filed under the name Triticum aestivum (bread wheat). RNAcentral describes it as "partial small subunit ribosomal RNA". Lineage: Eukaryota; Viridiplantae; Streptophyta; Magnoliopsida; Poales; Poaceae. The record is from RNAcentral.
GUCGGCGUCCAUGGGCUUCCUCCACAAUUACGACGUGUCUGCUACCACUUCAUCAACCACCUCCACACCACAAGAAGGCCAUGGUCAUGAGGAAUCUCCAAAAGUCUGAUUAGUGCCACCCCUUAUUUGCAUAUGAUCAGGUGUUCUAAUCACAAUACUAAAAUCUUUUUUCAGUUAAUCCUAAAGCAAUUAUUCUAAAUUUUGUUUGAGAAUCAAUUAUUCUUUUUUGAGUGCUGAGAAUCGAUUGUUCUAUUUUUUUAGACAAGAUUAUUCUAAAUUUAUGACCGGUAAUCAUGUAUCAGUGGGCUAGUCAAAUAAGCUAGACCGGCCCGGCCCGGCCAUCAGUCUAAUAGCUCUGGAAGAACGGGCGGCGGUAAGAGCGGCCACGAUGCGGUCGUCGUCGCCUUCCUCCUCGAUUCCUCGUCGUGCUUGCUCGCGAUCCAUUCUGCAGGGAGGCGAAACCCUCUGCGCGCCAUGGGCGACCACUACGGUACGCUUGGGGUGCGGCCCGACGCUACCAAGGCCGAGGUCAAGGCCGCCUUCCGCCGCCGCGCCCUGCGCGACCACCCCGACCGCCACGCUCAAUCCGGCGACGCCGGUGCCCGAGCCGAAGCCGCGGCGCGCUUCCGCCAGGCCUCCGACGCCUACCACGUCCUCUCCGACGACCAAAGGAGGGCCGAGUACGACCUCCGUCUCCGCUCUUCCUCCUAUGUCCGCACAUCCUCCUCCACCUGGGCCUCCUCCUCGGGUUCGCACGGCUACGGCUACGGGCACAGAGAAAGUUCUUGGCGGCGGCCGCCUCCGGGAGGCGGAGGCGCAUCGGUGGGAUACGAUUGGGGCUUGUUGCUGAAGGCGAUGACUCGGCGAAGGUUCCUUCUCAAUCUCGGCUUCUCCAGUGUAUUGCUUUCUGGUGCAGCUUUUCUUGAUGGAAGUAUUCUGGAACUCUGGAACAUGAAUAACUCUGGGAAAUCAUUUGAAGAAGCAAUGGAGUCGAUUGAGAAGGUAAAAGGGGGAAAGGGGAAUAGGUAGAGAAGUAGAUAGGUUCCAUCAAAUUGUGGUACACUGGUACAUAGACAAACGAGUGUGCAUAUUGUUGUUCAGAUCCUUCUGUACAGUCGGAAUAAUAUUUGUGACAAAGUGACGACUGAUUACCUGAUCAGCGUAGCUGUGGAUGAUUGUAAUGUGCAUCUAUGCCUAAGGUUCUUCCAGUGCAAAGAUUCAAACAAGUUGUCUUUUAACCUCCUCUAAUCAUGCUUUGUUUCCUCGGAAUCUGCAAGUAAUCGCAUUGUGUAUUGUAAUGGUACAGACAUUUUGGUGGGUACGAAGGCUGGCCUGUAUUAGAGAUAUAUUUGGGUUGCAUGUGUUUGGUAGUCUAGGAUUUGUAAUCCGUCUCCUACCUUAUUUUUAGGAGAGGUGUCUUGCCC